RNAcentral lists this ribosomal RNA (864 nucleotides) under uncultured bacterium. RNAcentral describes it as "bacterial SSU rRNA". It matches the Rfam family "Bacterial small subunit ribosomal RNA", at positions 53 to 916 of the family's 1533-position model. The record is from RNAcentral.
ACAUGCAGUCGAGGGGCAGCAAGGGUAGCAAUACCUGUUGGCGACCGGCAAACGGGUGCGGAACACGUACAGAACCUUCCUUUAAGCGGGGGAUAGCCCAUAGAAAUGUGGAUUAAUACCCCAUAGUAAUAUUGACUGGCAUCAGUUAGUAUUUAAAGAUUUAUCACUUAAAGAUGGCUGUGCGGCUGAUUAGGUAGUUGGUGUGGGUAACGGCCCACCAAGCCAUCGAUCAGUAACUGGUGUGAGAGCACGACCAGUCACACGGGCACUGAGACACGGGCCCGACUCCUACGGGAGGCAGCAGUAAGGAAUAUUGGUCAAUGGACGCAAGUCUGAACCAGCCAUGCCGCGUGAAGGAUGAAGGCCCUCUGGGUUGUAAACUUCUUUUAUCUGGGAAGAAAUGCCUGUUUUCUAACGGGUUUGACGGUACCAGAGGAAUAAGCACCGGCUAACUCCGUGCCAGCAGCCGCGGUAAUACGGAGGGUGCAAGCGUUAUCCGGAUUCACUGGGUUUAAAGGGUGCGUAGGUGGGUUGGUAAGUCAGUGGUGAAAUCUCCGUGCUUAACAUGGAAACUGCCAUUGAUACUACUGAUCUUGAAUUUUCGGGAGGUAAGCGGAAUAUGUCAUGUAGCGGUGAAAUGCUUAGAUAUGACAUAGAACACCAAUUGCGAAGGCAGCUUACUACAGGAAUAUUGACACUGAUGCACGAAAGCGUGGGGAUCAAACAGGAUUAGAUACCCUGGUAGUCCACGCCCUAAACGAUGGAUACUCGACAUUUGUGAUACACAAUAAGUGUCUGAGCGAAAGCAUUAAGUAUCCCACCUGGGAAGUACGACCGCAAGGUUGAAACUCAAGGAAUUGACGG